GUGUCACAGGUUUGGAACAAGAAGACCACGUCUCCUCGCCGAUGCAGCCGAUUCAUCACACGUCUCGGUCAGCGACCCACCUCUACGCGACGACAUUCAAGAGGGAUCCCGACACUGCAGCAACCGUUGGCGUCUCUGCGCUGGAGCAACAGCGCAACCUCUCAACAUGGUCACAGGGGCGGGCACCGCCUGCUGUACUACGCCGUCGUCGCUGUGGUUCUCCUGUGCUGCAUAGUACUCACCUUGGCCCUGUUAACAGGUGACAAGAAAGUAGCCCUGGCUAGACCAAAGCGUCAGAGCACACCGGACGACCACCAACCCCCUAAUAUCCCUGGCCAUGCACCGACGUCCACGGACGGCUCAGGAGCGACAAAUUCCGAUACUUCGACAGCGACCACUGCCGACUCGGACUCUACAAGUGUUUAGACAAAUCCUCACAAGUUCUAGCGUUCUUUAGUGCACGCCAGCACGCCGUUGUUAGUUGAGGAAGUAUACGAGUGGCUUUCUACGCCACCCUUUAUAAAAAAAUAAGCAUAAAAUGAACAUAUUCUCUAUAAAAUUGGCGUAAAGUGUGCUCCUUGUAAAAUCGGUGUAUAUGCCUCAUAAAAUCAGCAUAAGUGUGCAAAUCGGUGUAAGUGUGCAAAGUGCCUCAUUAUGCACUUCUUUUCGUGAUAUGUUGUCUGGAAAGGAAAAUUGUCGUCCAUCUGACUGUACCACAAAGUUAAUAAAAAAACAAAAAAAAACACCGAUACGGGUCUUCAAGAAACGAAGCUUUCCAGUUCAAAAAAAAAAAAAAAAAUUCGAAACGGCAAUUAAUACACAUGAUCAACAUCUCUUCCGAAGGGGUCUUUCUCACAUCUGAGCUGGCAAAGAGGCAAACAGUUUACGGAACGAGCCGAAACAAUCGGCAACUCUAAGCACAGGGACACUGGACAUUACAAGUAAGUUCAAAUGAGUUUUUCUCCAAAUGCGAAACCUUCUGUGGAAGCGGCGUGGGUUUCCUGUGUAGCUUCCUGCUAUAGUCGUGUGGGUGACCAUUUUCCCUUUGAUGAACCUUCGUCUAACUUGCGGGAUUUCACAAAACUGAUGUACUGUCCACGCGUAUAUGAUGUGUAUUGAUGAAAAGCAUGCAAAUUUCAUUAUUUCGAUUGACCUAUUGCAACCUCCAGACUUGCAAGAAGGUUGAGAGUAGGUAGUUCGAAGAGAGAGAGAGAGAGAGUAAACUUUAAUGAACACCAGCAGUUCUGUCGGCUGGGCCUAGGCCUCCCACGAUGGGACGUCGAGGUCUUGCCUCUUCGCCGCUUCGUAGGCCUGCUGGGUCGCCCAGAGUUGGUCGUCGAGAUGGGAGCUGCGCAGGGCGGCGUGCCAUCUCGACGAGAGGGUCACGGGAUUAAGCUCUUGGUAUUGAUCUUUGCACUCCCAUAGCAUGUGGGGGAGUGUUGCCGAUUCAGUUUUACAGACCUUGCACGUCUGGCUCGGGUAGAUGUCGGGGUA
Molecule: long non-coding RNA, 1494 nt
Organism: Dermacentor andersoni
Lineage: Eukaryota; Metazoa; Arthropoda; Arachnida; Ixodida; Ixodidae
Source: RefSeq, a predicted model, not a curated record